CCCACCUCCAAAUCCAUCAAUUCAAGCACAGUUGACCACAGUUGACUUUUCUGACUAAUAGAUGAAUCUGGCUAUGCACUGAUCAAGUUGAGCCUCAAACUCCUGAUGAAAUGGCUCAAUGAUGAAACCCUAGCUUCCAUAAGCUCAAUAUAAUCACAUGAUGAUCCCCAUAUCCAUUGUAGACCCCAUCUCCAUGCCAUGCCCUGAUUGGCCUAAUGCAGAUGAUUCAACUGAUUAGGGUUGACCAGUGGUCAAAACCCUAAUCUCAAGGUAUCUGAUCAAUCUUCUUGAAUCUCUUGG
RNAcentral lists this long non-coding RNA (300 nucleotides) under Lathyrus oleraceus (garden pea). RNAcentral describes it as "Pisum sativum (pea) long non-coding RNA (PSAT_LNC042376)". Lineage: Eukaryota; Viridiplantae; Streptophyta; Magnoliopsida; Fabales; Fabaceae. The record is from RNAcentral.